AGAGCGAACGCUGGCGGCAGGCCUAACACAUGCAAGUCGAGCGCCCGUAGCAAUACGGGAGCGGCAGACGGGAUAGUAACACGUGGGAACGCGCCCUUCGGUUCGGAAUAACUCAGGGAAACUUGAGCUAAUACCGGAUACGCCCUUACAGGGAAAGAUUUAUUGCCGAAGGAACGGCCCGCGUCCGAUUAGCUAGUUGGUGAGGUAAUGGCUCACCAAGGCGACGAUCGGUAGCUGGUCUGAGAGGAUGACCAGCAUCACUGGGACUGAGACACGGCCCAGACUCCUACGGGAGGCAGCAGUGGGGAAUAUUGGACAAUGGGCGCAAGCCUGAUCCAGCCAUGCCGCGUGGAUGAUGAAGGCCUUAGGGUGUAAGUCCUUUAACGGGAAGAUAAUGACGGUACCGUAGAAUAAGCCCGGCUAACUUCGUGCCAGCAGCCGC
This 442-nucleotide ribosomal RNA is filed under the name uncultured bacterium. Its description in RNAcentral is "SSU rRNA". It matches the Rfam family "Bacterial small subunit ribosomal RNA", at positions 26 to 518 of the family's 1533-position model. The record is from RNAcentral.